AGUGGCGAACGGGUGCGUAAUACGUGAGAAUCUGCCCUUAGGAGAAGAAUAACUGCUGGAAACGGCUGCUAAAUCUUCAUAUGUCGAGAGAUGAGAUAGCUUAGGCUGCCUAAGGAUGAGCUCACGCCUGAUUAGCUAGUUGGUGAGGUAAUGGCUCACCAAGGCCACGAUCAGUAGCUGGUUUGAGAGAACGAUCAGCCACACUGGGACUGAGACACGGCCCAGACUCCUCCGGGAGGCAGCAGUGAGGAAUUUUCCGCAAUGGGCGAAAGCCUGACGGAGCAAUACCGCGUGAGGGAUGAAGGAUUUUGGUCUGUAAACCUCUUUUCUCAAGAAAGAAGUUCUGACGGUACUUGAGGAAUAAGCAUCGGCUAACUCCGUGCCAGCAGCCGCGGUAAUACGGGGGAUGCAAGCGUUAUCCGGAAUCAUUGGGCGUAAAGCGCCUGUAGGUUGUUUAAUAAGUCUGUUGUUAAAGACUAGGGCUUAACCCUAGAAAAGCAAUGGAAACUACUAGACUAGAGUAUGGCAGGGGUAGAGGGAAUUUCUAGUGUAGCGGUGAAAUGCGUAGAUAUUAGAAAGAACACCGGUGGCGAAAGCGCUCUACUGGACCAUUACUGACACUCAGAGGCGAAAGCUAGGGUAGCAAAAGG
RNAcentral lists this ribosomal RNA (650 nucleotides) under uncultured marine bacterium. Its description in RNAcentral is "bacterial SSU rRNA". It matches the Rfam family "Bacterial small subunit ribosomal RNA", at positions 94 to 775 of the family's 1533-position model. The record is from RNAcentral.